GGCAAAUAGGCCUAAGUGAAUUGGCUUGCACGUCCAUAAUAAAUUACUCUUGUGAUAAUCCAUCAUUUAUACAUAAAUCCUAACUCAGAAAAUCGACCACCUCCCCCAAUCCUCACCAACUCUUUCCGGCGACAGUAAAAUGAAACCUAUACAUACACAGAUAUAGAUACAAAUGCAUGAUAAUAAUGGAAGGUAGAUUUCAUGAGCAAGAUGACUCCACCAGCACUCUAGAAAACGUGGCCGAUUCUCCACUUUCCCUUGGGGAUGAAGCACCUGAAGAAGUUUACGAGCCGUCGCCCAAAAAAAGGUUUAAAGUUCAGUACUUUUUUUUUCUUUUUUUUUUUUAAUUUUCAGUGUAGUCGUUUUCUCUCAAUUGAGGAGUGAGAAACGAAAGUAAAUAUAGAUUCCGUUGAGUUGUUGUAUUAGGAGAAGCGCAAAGAAGAAGGUAGUGACAAUACCAAUUUGCAGCGAUGGAUCCCGGAGUAAAUCGGAGGUGUAUCCGCCGCCGGAUUCUUGUUCCUGGAGGAAAUAUGGUCAGAAACCCAUAAAGGGUUCACCUUAUCCAAGGUAAAGAUUCAAAUUUAAUCCAUUUUUUAUUAUUUUUACUUGCAUAUAAAUAGCAUAUGAACCAGUUCAAUCUUUCUUGUGGUUGCCGCCGGAAAGGGAGUAGGUGAAUGGUGAUGGUUAACUGUAUAUAGAUUAGAUUAUCGUAGGCGGCUUUGAAAAAUGCAUUGAAUGGGCACUUGGAGUAGUUGAAACUUAUGCACAUCACGCGCCUAAAAUUGGUUUAUGUGCCACCUCCUUCCAUCUACCAAAAUUUGGAAAUCUUUGGGGCCACUUCAUAUGUUUUUAGAGCAUAUAUCAUCGAUAUCUUUUCUUCAAUUUCUUUUAAUGAAAGAAAUAGAAGCUCGAGAAGGAAUACCAAAACUUAGUUCACUUGUUGAGUCUCUUUGCUUCCAUGGUUGAAUGGGUAAAGUGCCCAAUCAAGAAAAUUCGUAGAUAAGAUUCCAACUUAAUGCACUUUACUUUUGAUAACUUAUUAUUUUAUGUAGCUUGUCAACAAGUUCUAAAUUUCUCAUUAGUGCUUUGCAAGAGAAAUAAUACCCCACAAUGUACGAGUCUACAUGACAAUGAAUAGAACAUUAGUGAAUACUGAACAGAUGAAGAUGAAAAGUAAAAGUUAAAUCUUUAUCUUUUUAAUAAAAUAUAAGAACUCACUCAUUUUCUGUACUUAGCAUGUGCCUGGAAGUUAUACUAUCCAGAUUUUAAUCAACCUUUUGAUCGUUUUAAAGGUAUGCGGGUCCUAUUUGUGCAGUAAUUCUUGACUCAACGCGAGCUUAUUUUCAGAAAUAUCCUUUUAUAAAAAGGAAUAUGGAAUCAAAUGGUAAAAGGGCUAAAAAGGUCAUUCAACUUAGAUCAGUCAAUAUUUGCGACACCGAUGCACUGUAUAACGGCAUGAAUUUCUCUACAAAUUAGAUACAAAAUGGCUCUCAAAUAGGGGCUUAGGGUGUGUUCAGGAGUGAUUUUUCACCCCAAAAAAAUGAUUUUUUACGGAAUCAAAUGGUAAAAGGGCUAAAAAGGUCAUUCAACUUAUUUCAGUCAAUAUUUGCGACACCGAUGCACCGUAUAACGGCAUGAAUUUCUCUACAAAUUAGAUACAAAAUGGCUCUCAAAUAGGGGCUUACGGUGUGUUCAUGAAUGAUUUUUCACCCCAAAAAAAUGAUAUAUAUAUAUAUAUAUAUAUAUAUAUAUAUAUAUAUAUAUAUAUAUAUAUUUUUUUUUUUUUUUUUUUUUUUUUUUUUUUGUUAUUUCACUAUUUCAGCUGUAAAGUUUGAGUUCUUAUCUCGUAGGUGGCCCCCACUUUUUCCCUAAUGGUCAAAAAAUCAAUUCUCAAAAUCGCUCUCAAACGGGGACUUUAGUAUAUUCCCAACUUGUGAAUAACAAUCUUCUACAAUUAUGUUGCAUUCUAUUUCUUAAAUGUUAGAAAAAAAUAGUCUCUAAAAAAGUUAAAUCUUUUUUUUUUUUUUUUUUUGGGCUAAAUAAGACAAAUGGAGUGGAUGAUUUGCUUUCAUACACGUUUUUGCUGUUUACUAAGUUGUCUAUUUGCAUGUAUUGCAUGGCAGGGGAUAUUACAGGUGCAGCAGCUCAAAAGGUUGCCCUGCUAGGAAACAAGUUGAGCGGAGCCACCUUGAUCCCACCAUGCUCCUCAUCACCUACUAUUGUGACCACAACCACCCUCUCCUCGCCACCACAAAAUACGACCACCACCACUCUGCCACGCCAGCGGCCGCCUCCACCUCCUCGUCCGCCACUACUGUUCCCGCCGAGGAAGAAUGUGCUACAUUUGCCAACCGGCCAAAACUCGAGCAGGAGGACAGUGUCUUCACCGAGCUCGCUGUCGAGUUUGGCUGGUUGGCCGAUGUUGGGCGUACAGUACUGGAUAGUCCUGUUAUUUUGGGUUCCACUUGGGCACAAGCCGACUUGGAAGUGUUCAUGCCAAUUGGAGAAGAGGAUGAGUUUUUGUAUGGUGAUUUGGGGGAUUUGCCGGAGUCCUCACAGGUUUUCCGGCGUUGCAGUACAGAGACACCAUGCUAUGGCGGCACAGGAUAAAUAUGUUGAUGAAUUGACUUCCAAUGUGAUAGUUUCAAACGUGAAUAUCAAUAAUAAAUUGAAAGUUGGCAUAGGUUGCGCCACAAUAUAUGCUAAAAGUUUCCGUGGUUAUUGAACAUUUAUUCUUUUCAUCAUCUGUUUUCUUUUCUGUAUGUAACAAUUUGAAAGAAAAAAAACUUUUAGGCAAAGUGAGAAUGACUCUUAUCUUAUUUAAUGCAUGUAAAAUGAAUAUGCAAUUGGAAUGCUAUAAAAG
Molecule: long non-coding RNA, 2863 nt
Filed under: Olea europaea subsp. europaea
Lineage: Eukaryota; Viridiplantae; Streptophyta; Magnoliopsida; Lamiales; Oleaceae
Source: RNAcentral